UUUGAAACACCAGUUCCUGUACGAUCACCGAAGUUAAGCAACGUCGAGCCUGGUCAGUACCUAGAUGGGUGAGCCCUUUGGAACCCCAGGUGUUGUAAG
Acanthosepion pharaonis is the source of this 99-nucleotide non-coding RNA. NCBI's taxonomy places the organism in Eukaryota, Metazoa, Mollusca, Cephalopoda, Sepiida, Sepiidae. The record is from the annotation of a GenBank genome assembly.